Molecule: non-coding RNA, 209 nt
Filed under: pig gut metagenome
Description: raiA RNA
Rfam family: raiA RNA
Source: RNAcentral
UUCGGGUCUGUGGUUGAAAACCGAUGCCAGUCGCAGGCAAAACGGUCCACGUAACCCGGGCAAAGUACCGGUGAGCAUGGUGCGGCUUAGAAGUAAGUCCGUCCGAAGGCGGGUCAUCCGCUUUCGAGAAGCCGAGUUGUGAGGGGCGUGAAGCCUAUUAGCUAAAGGUUCAGACGGCGAGUGUGGGGGCAAAAACCAGGUCAGCCGAG